AGAGCGAACGCUGGCGGCAGGCCUAAUACAUGCAAGUCGAACGGCUCUUCGGAGCAGUGGCGGACGGGUGAGUAACGCGUGGGAAUGUGCCCUUUGGUACGGAACAACUGAGGGAAACUUCAGCUAAUACCGUAUGUGCCCUUCGGGGGAAAGAUUUAUUGCCAUUGGAGCAGCCCGCGUUGGAUUAGCUAGUUGGUGGGUAAAGCCCACAAGGCGACGAUCCAUAGCUGGUCUGAGAGGAUGAUCAGCCACACUGGGACUGAGACACGGCCCAGACUCCUACGGGAGGCAGCAGUAGGGAAUAUUGGACAAUGGGGGCAACCCUGAUCCAGCAAUGCCGCGUGAGUGAUGAAGGCCUUAGGGUGUAAAGCUCUUUACCCGAGAUGAUAAUGACAGUAUACGGAGAAUAAGCUACCGGCUAACUCCGUGACCAGCACGCCGC
RNAcentral lists this ribosomal RNA (442 nucleotides) under uncultured soil bacterium. RNAcentral's name for it is "bacterial SSU rRNA". It matches the Rfam family "Bacterial small subunit ribosomal RNA", at positions 26 to 518 of the family's 1533-position model. The record is from RNAcentral.